Vicia faba (fava bean) is the source of this 285-nucleotide non-coding RNA. NCBI's taxonomy places the organism in Eukaryota, Viridiplantae, Streptophyta, Magnoliopsida, Fabales, Fabaceae. The record is from the annotation of a GenBank genome assembly.
AUGGGUAAGGGAACUGGAAGUUUCGGAAAGAGGAGGAACAAGACCCACACGCUCUGUGUGAGGUGCGGUCGCCGCAGUUUCCACCUUCAGAAAAGUCGGUGCUCGGCGUGUGCUUACCCUGCUGCUCGCGUCAGGAAAUAUAAUUGGAGUGUUAAGGCAAUCCGUAGAAAGACCACUGGAACUGGUAGGAUGAGGUACUUGCGCAACGUUCCUCGCCGAUUCAAGAGUGGCUUCAGAGAGGGAACUGAAGCUGCACCUAGGAAGAAGGGAGCUGUCACUGCUUAA